GUCUAUGGCCAUGCCACCCUGAAUGAGCCCAAUCUCGUUUGAUCUUAGAAGCUAAGCAGGGUCGGGCCUGGUUAGUACUUGAAUGGGAGGCUACCUAGAAAUACCAGGUACCGCAGGCG
RNAcentral lists this ribosomal RNA (119 nucleotides) under Pteropus alecto (black flying fox). The record is from RNAcentral. RNAcentral also lists the same sequence under 1 other name. Lineage: Eukaryota; Metazoa; Chordata; Mammalia; Chiroptera; Pteropodidae.